AAAGUACUCCCUCCGUCCCAAAAUUCUUGUCUUAGAUUUGUCUAGAUACGGAUGUAUCAAGUCACAUUUUAGUAUUAGAUACAUCCGUAUCUAAUCAAAUCUAAGACAAGAAAUUUGGAACAGAGGGAGUAGUUG
Triticum aestivum (bread wheat) is the source of this 135-nucleotide non-coding RNA. Lineage: Eukaryota; Viridiplantae; Streptophyta; Magnoliopsida; Poales; Poaceae. The record is from Rfam.